Non-coding RNA from Oryctolagus cuniculus (rabbit), 1877 nucleotides. Lineage: Eukaryota; Metazoa; Chordata; Mammalia; Lagomorpha; Leporidae. The record is from RefSeq and is a predicted model, not a curated record.
GGCAGGCGUGUGUGGGCGGGGUGAGCCACUGAGGGGCAGGCGUGUGUGGGUGGGGUGAGCCACGGAGGCACCAGCGGAGGUCCAGGCCUCUGUCAUGAGACCAGAGUGAAGCUGUUAUUGCAAGAACAAAUCCAGCCUCCUAAGAAGAACGUUAACCUCUCUUAGAGACCCCAUCACCUCUCAACUUUGUUCCACUGGGGACCACGUCUCACGUGUUGUCCCGUAGGCUGGAUUGGGCAGGACGGUGACCAUGGACCUGCGGCUGUUCGAAUGAUUUCAAGAUCCAGUCCUCAGCGGCGGGAGUCGCGGUCGGACGCUCAGUAGCCGCGGCAGCUCGUCCUUUCUCACCUCCCUUCAGUCGGGACAGGAGCGACUGGAGUUAAUAUUCUCAAGUUUGUGGAAGACCUUGCAGGAGCUUGAAGCUCUCCCAGAAGGUUCUCCCAGCUCUUCCCAGUGAGUCACGGCACCUACUUUGUGCACAAGGAUCAAACACGGCAUCUACUUUGUGCACAAGGAUCAAAGACAGGCCGACAGAGGUUCGGGUCUGACAGACCUGAGUCUUGGGCUUGGAUCAGCCUCCCUCUGGGAUCUGUGUUUGGCCGAGCGCAUAGCACGAUAGAGUCUAUAAAACACGGAAGACGGCCACUCUCGCGGGAACUGGUGUGCAGGCUCUUUUGUGUUUGCAGGCGGUAGAAGCAACCCAGCAACGUGGCUGAGCAGGGGUUCUAUGCCGAGAGCUGAGGACUGUGGGACACACGUGUGUGAGCGUUAACAGAGCUCUAGCAGGAGAAAUCGCUUCCCAAAAACCGGCUGGGGAAGAGCACACGUUCCCGUCCUGGACCACAGCAACCGUCAGGGUCCUCCUCUUCCCGGGGCAGCUGCACGUGGCUGGUUUGCGGCUAGAAGUGCACCGUGACUGCUCCGAGUCCUUUCGCACUGCUCCCUGGGUCACCCAUAAAACCAGUGGUUUGCACCCAUCUGCGGGCCGCCAAUAGCCAAGGUCUGCUAGGCACCCGGAGCCUACAAGUGGCACAACAGUAAACAUCCCCGCUAAUCGAAUAAUGCACUAUUUAAAGCUAAAUCAAUAGGCCCACAUUUCUAGCCUGAAUAAAACAUGAAUCCUUAAUAGAGUUAUAUCAGAAACUUAGGCCUAAUGGGUCCUGUGGUUCCAAGAUUUAACUCUAAAGAUGAAGUUGUAACGAUUACAAGAAUAGGAACAAAAUAAAAGGUUGAGGGGAAUGCAUUUGACAUUUGCUCCGGUGGAGUCAUGUGCAAAUGAAAAUCAAUUUACUUGAAGCAAAUCUUGCCUCUUUACAGGAUAGAUGCCGUGUGGUGUCAACAUUUAUUCUCUUCAAUAUUUAUUCACCUCAAAGGGGAGAGCAGAGCGUGCAGCCUCAGUGUAUGGCCUCGGGGUAUGGCCUGGAAAUAAAAGCGAAUCGAUUCAGCUUCCUGGCACAGGCGGCAAGGUCAAUUUAACCCACCUCCCCAAAGAAGUGGGCCAGGAGGAAUGCAUUACUCUCGGAGCAAGCUGGAAAGGUAGGGGCCUUCACGGCGCGGGGUAGGAGGAGAGGGACCCUGUCGGGCCUCUGGCUUUGCCUUGGGGACGCGUUUCACUUCCCCAGAGCAACUUCCCCAUUAGGGCACGGACGGAGGCCAGCGGCAGGGCCAGGGUCGUUUCUGCACAGCCUUGUUGAAGGAAAGGAGGAUGGUUUUCCCUUCCGGUUGCAGGUCCGCACUCCUCAGUGGGCCGCCAGCCCCCAGGCCGGUAGCUGCCUGUGGUGGGGAGGUGGACAGGCUGUGCUGAGCAAGUGAGGGCCCCUCUCGUGGGCCCUGUGUCCUUCCUGGGCACGGGCUGCUGCCCCUGCAGUUGCUCAACC